CAUUAAGGGGGAAAUUCCAUAUGUUUUUUUCUUCCUUUUAAGCUUUUCUUUGAAUUUUGUUUAUAUUUGAGUCUCUUAUUCAAUUGUAUAUCUUUUAGGAUCGAGUUUUGAAUCCGUAUUUUAGCAUGCAUAAUUCAUAGUGUUUGCACUAUCCCGAUCUGAUUUAUAAGCAAAAAAGAUGAAUUUCACACUUAUUAAGAAUACUAUUCAAGUAUAUUUAAUUUUCUUGAUUUCAUAUAAAAGAGAUAAUACAAUUACUAAUAUACUCUUAAUUAAAUUGUCACCCACUAACACCAUUAAUAAUUAAUGUAGGGAUGAUUUUGAAAUAAAGACAUUAAAU
This 340-nucleotide long non-coding RNA is filed under the name Lathyrus oleraceus (garden pea). RNAcentral describes it as "Pisum sativum (pea) long non-coding RNA (PSAT_LNC012798)". Lineage: Eukaryota; Viridiplantae; Streptophyta; Magnoliopsida; Fabales; Fabaceae. The record is from RNAcentral.